RNAcentral lists this ribosomal RNA (439 nucleotides) under uncultured Bacillus sp. Its description in RNAcentral is "bacterial SSU rRNA". It matches the Rfam family "Bacterial small subunit ribosomal RNA", at positions 338 to 769 of the family's 1533-position model. Lineage: Bacteria; Bacillati; Bacillota; Bacilli; Caryophanales; Bacillaceae. The record is from RNAcentral.
CCUACGGGAGGCAGCAGUAGGGAAUCUUCCGCAAUGGACGAAAGUCUGACGGAGCAACGCCGCGUGAGUGAUGAAGGUUUUCGGAUCGUAAAACUCUGUUGUUAGGGAAGAACAAGUAUCGGAGUAACUGCCGGUACCUUGACGGUACCUAACCAGAAAGCCACGGCUAACUACGUGCCAGCAGCCGCGGUAAUACGUAGGUGGCAAGCGUUGUCCGGAAUUAUUGGGCGUAAAGCGCGCGCAGGUGGUCUCUUAAGUCUGAUGUGAAAGCCCCCGGCUCAACCGGGGAGGGUCAUUGGAAACUGGGAGACUUGAGUGCAGGAGAGAAGAGUGGAAUUCCACGUGUAGCGGUGAAAUGCGUAGAGAUGUGGAGGAACACCAGUGGCGAAGGCGACUCUUUGGCCUGUAACUGACACUGAGGCGCGAAAGCGUGGGGAGC